Molecule: ribosomal RNA, 207 nt
Filed under: uncultured bacterium
Lineage: Bacteria
Description: partial 16S ribosomal RNA
Rfam family: Bacterial small subunit ribosomal RNA
Source: RNAcentral
UGCGUAGGCGGGUUUCUAAGUCAGAGGUGAAAGCCUGGAGCUCAACUCCAGAACUGCCUUUGAUACUGGAAGUCUUGAGUAUGGCAGAGGUGAGUGGAACUGCGAGUGUAGAGGUGAAAUUCGUAGAUAUUGGGAGGAACACCAGUGGCGAAGGCGCCUUUCUGGACUGUGUCUGACGCUGAGAUGCGAAAGCCAGGGUAGCGAACG